UGAGGAAUAUUGGUCAAUGGGGGGAACCCUGAACCAGCCAUCCCGCGUGCAGGAAGACAGUUCUAUGGAUUGUAAACUGCUUUUCUUGGGGAAGAAUAAUGACGACGUGUCGUCAGAUGACGGUACCCGAGGAAUAAGCAUCGGCUAACUACGUGCCAGCAGCCGCGGUAAUACGGAGGAUGCAAGCGUUAUCCGGAUUUAUUAGGUUUAAAGGGUGUGUAGGCGGAUGUAUAAGUCAGUGGUGAAAGUCAGCAUCUUAACUGUAGAAUUUCCAU
This 275-nucleotide ribosomal RNA is filed under the name uncultured prokaryote. RNAcentral's name for it is "partial 16S ribosomal RNA". It matches the Rfam family "Bacterial small subunit ribosomal RNA", at positions 355 to 627 of the family's 1533-position model. The record is from RNAcentral.